Molecule: long non-coding RNA, 5435 nt
Organism: Manis pentadactyla (Chinese pangolin)
Lineage: Eukaryota; Metazoa; Chordata; Mammalia; Pholidota; Manidae
Exons: 3
Source: RefSeq, a predicted model, not a curated record
AAGCACAGCACACCCCACGCAUCUGUGUUGGACACAAGAACCCACUGCUCACUUUUUCAUGAGGCCAGUUGCCUCUAAGACGUUUAUAAAAAAUCCUUUUCUAAGUUAGGGCAAGUUCAUUUCUUUCUAUUUGAAAGGACUCACCCAUUACUAAGGUGAAACAAGCCUGAUUCUGAGACUUUAGAGUGUCUCAGUUUAGAACUUGGGCUCUAAAAACCACAGGGUGUGGGUCUGAAACUGGUCUCUGGCAUGUUCUAGCUGUGAGGCCUUAGGCAAGCGGCUUUUUUAAGCCUGAUUCCCCACGUGUCAUUUAGGAGUGCUGUGAGAAAACAAGGAGUUGCCGUAGGUAAAGGGCUUAUUAGCAUUGUGAUGAGAUUGCUAAGAUUGGCUAUCUUUAUUAUCGUUAUCCUUGCUAUUUUAAAGCAUUGUAUUUUCCUUAUGAACAAUUAAUAAUCUGGCCCCAGAUUUCAGAUAGGACCUGCUCAUUUUAUUGAAGUUGCUUAUAUCAAAAUCAGGCCAAAUCCCUUGACGAAGUCUGAAGGUUAAACCAGACCCGAAUUGAAUCAGAGAUGCAAAAAGCAACGAAUUUUCUGGGGCAUCCAUCCCAAAGCAUCCAUGUCCCAGUGAAAAGAAAUUCAAAUUCCGUAUGAUGCAUUUACAUCAUCAUGAAUCAAGGGAUUUGUGACAAGAAUAGCUCAAAUAGUUUUGGAUUACAGUCUAACAUUUCUAUAACAGAUCAAUAUGGAUUCCAGUCUUUGAUUAAGCUAAUUUAAAAACAACAGCAACUGUUUGCAGUCCUCUGAGCUAACUGGACAGCCAAAAUAAGGGAUUUAGGUGUGUAUAAAAAAAUUAAGAGAAAGAAUUAAGGAUAUAGGUGAUCCUUAAUGUGGAGUAUAUGCAGGGAAUCAACAGAGCACAGAAAAGUAUGAGAAAAACUUGGAGUUAUUUGGCAGAAAGUAAUACAUACAUAUAAAAUAUCAUCAUCGUCAUCCUAGAUACCGCUUUGAGUGAUAAUCACUUGAUCCCUACUGGGCAUUUCUGAGGGGUCUGAAAAUGAGUACUGCAAUAAGUCGGAUGUUUUCUUUUUAAACACGAUCAUCACAUUGUAUACUUGAUACUUAAAGUGAGAGCUCAGAUCUUCCCUUUCCCUGGUAUAAUUUUCAUCUAAGCAUUCCUUAGAUACUUAGAUCAUUCUUAAUGGAGAUUGUGCCUUAUACCCUCUGUGGACACAUGGAAAUCUGGCUAAUUGGACUGACUUGAUUACAGUAGUUGGUGAAUUCUCCAAUCUCCUUCCACUGCAAUAAAUGCUUAUGAUAUUCUUGUCACCUAUUAAGUAACUGUUUUAGAUUGUAAUCAUUUUUGAAAACAGUGGUUACAGGCAAAAGCUCUUUUACAUUCUGCACACCAAACAGAAUUCCUAUGCUUUCAAAAUGUUUCUUUUCUUGUUUGUAUAACUGGGUGUCCUAGUAAAGUCUGAAGCAAACUCAUAGCAUAAAUAGCUGUCACUCAGAUCCUACAGCACCUUCAACUGAACGUCAGCUUUGCCAUAAAGGAGUCCCUUUCAGCCUCAGGAAGCCCAUCAGGAUGGCAGAGCUUUAAAAAAAAAUGAUGUAUGAGGUGAUGGAAUGCUUACUCCCCAAAUUCAAACUUCUGAAAAUUAGAAAAUACACUUUUCUUUUGAAAGCACCUUAUUUGCUGUUCAAUGUUAUAUCCCAGAAAAAAUUUUUAAUUAUUUGCUUUCUUGGCCGAAAUGAUGUGACCUGUCAAUAAUAAUUAAGGUAGUUUUGUCUCUUUCAGUGCUAGGAGGAGUACCUAAUUCCAAUGGUUACUAUCCCCAUAUAUUAUACCUGUCAAAAUUCUUCAAACUCUAAUGAGUCAGCUUGCUGAAAAUACAUUCCACACUUCCAUUUGAAAGUAGAAAACUAAGUGCUGAGUGGGAAAAAGUUUACCCCAAUUCCAGUGUAAAUCAGCACAGAAAGGAAGCCGGCAAACACUCCAACUACUUGCUGUAGACACAAACAUGCGCUCGACCCCGAUUGCGCGUGAUCCACUCUCAUAAUGACUGUUCCUACCCCUAACACGAAAAUGCUGGGGAAAAGUAAGACAAUGUGGACGCAUGAAAGAUUAGCCAUUUCCUACCAGAACACACAAAAACUCCUCUCACUCCUAGAGACAUUUCUUGUCAGGGAAAAUAACAGUGCCUCUUGGAGAGCUAGCUCCUGAAUGAGAGUGGACUCUGGGAAGGAGAGCUUCCCUCUGUCCUCUCCAGACUCCGGUGACAUCUUCUCUCUGCUGCAAAGCGGAGCUGGUUACUCUUUGAGGGGCACAGCCCAGACACAAAGAUGUGAAAUUUCAAAAAUGUGAUCAAGGCCAGCCCGUCCGCCCUGGGAGGCUAGCAGCUGCCGAGUGACCGCUGAUGAAGUGGCUUCUGAAGGAGGUGGGCAGAUUGAUUCCAGCUGCUGAGAGCAGGGCAGGGCAGUGGCCCGGAAUGCACAGCCCGGCCAGGCAAGACACAGCAGCAGCUUCCCGACCAAGGGCAAGGCCAAAUAUGAGCUCUGUGUGUGUUUGCAGCCUGAGCCUGAGGGAAGGAAGAAUGUCAUUGUUCCAUCAGUCAGGGGCUUUCGAGGCACGCUGGGCCAAAAGGUGCCAUGUGCACAGUGUCAUUUUAUAAGUGGACCGUUGCUCAGGAUAUCUGAAAGUUGUCCCCUGAGACGUGGCUUCAGAAUGGGCCCACAGUUCCUAAGCGAAUCCUUUCGGCUGGAUUCCUGUUUUCCUCCCCCACCCAAUCCCAGCUCCUGGCCCUCUUCCAAUAGCUCUUAACCCCUGCCCAACCCCCUCUGCUCCCCUCCCCCACUGCACACAAACACCGUAAUCGACAUGCAGAAACAGGGAAAGGGUGCAGUGGAGAAGUGGGGGAUACUGAGAGCCCUGGGACUGUCCUGGAUGGAGACGGGACAAAACACGCUCCUUAGACAUGCUGGCCUCAAAGUCAAAGAGCUCAAUGGGAGGGACUAAUUUAGGGGUCCCCUGAGGGCCCCAAACUCAGACACCAAGUGAUCUAAGGGGAGGGAAGGGGUAAGAGGUAGGCGGGCAUGAAGGCCCGCCUAAUGGAAUAUUCAAUAUCCUGCAAAAUGCACUUUCGGCCGUGCACUUCCAGAGACUAAAAGCCAGUAAUGGGCUUUGGAGUCUGCACUUCCUCUCCCUAAUGUCCAGAGGCGCUUUAAAGCUGCAGCCAAUCGAUCAGCCUUCUCCGGUGAAGGCGGCGAGUGGGGUGCAAAAGCUUCCUGCUUGUGGCCAAAAUCACCCGGCCUCCUCUGCACACCACGAAUGGGCGACACACAACUUUGAACUGGCAGGAUUUGAGUCUUCAGUAACCGGGAGGAGGAAAGCAAGGAGCCUGAAGGCGCCGGAGAAACAGACCCCUCCCUCUUCAUCCGAACUUUUCCAGGGAGAGACUCAGAAAGAAGACAAACAAUGUGGGUGCAUUAUCCACCCGGGGAUAGGGCUGACCAGUAGCCCCAAACCUGCUUCAGGUGCAAGGUCAUGGAGCCGCCUCCAAGCCCAGGGCAGCCCCAGAUGUAGCACUUCUGAGAAGGACACAGAGUAAACGAAUAUCCAGAAAGAGGGGUUUCUUUGUAAUUUCAUGCUGACAUCACAGCUGCCUUCAAAGUGACCCUGGGAAUAACCCGCGCCACCACCAUCCCAGAGGCCAGGUCGCUGCAGCGGAGACGCGCCCGGGUCCCGCCUCCCCACGUCCCUGAGCUCUCGCAGGACUUGGGUUCUGAGCAAGUUCAGUCCCUAAACUGAACCCACGCCUCCCCAGCCUCCCGUUGCCCCUCCGCAGGAGGCUCCAGCGGCCCCACUGAGCACGCCCCGCGGCCUGGGUCUGGGGGUCGCCUCAGGGAAGCUCUCCAGGCCGGGAUGGGCAGGGUUCUGUCCCAGCGUGGGUGCCCCCACAGGGGUGCGCGAACGAAACACACAGUGACUGCGUCCGGGUGCGGAGUGGCCAAGUUAGCUGGUGCAAGAAAACUUUCCGUGGUCCUUCUCCCCACCCCCACGCCACCGGGGCCCGUCUCCCCAAGGAGCUCGCCUUUCCCAGCCCCGGCCGGGACAAGCACAGCACGUGAUGGGCAGAAAUAAAAAUAAACACUUCCCAUUCCCCGGCCGUGGGGCCACCCCCACUCCGCGCACGCCGCGAGCAGGGGGCGCCCGGGCUGACCAGCCCCGGCCGCUGGAGCCCGGAUCCCCCAGUGCCUGAGUCGCCGCCCGGGUCGGGCCCCGGGCCCACCCGGCCGGAGGGGUGGCCUGCGCUCUAGCCCUCCGCACCGCGCCCUGGCGCCUACCUUUCGGAUUUGGUGAACUUCCGGAACGCCUGUCGGAGGUCGUGGAAGGACCGGACUAAAAGUCUAACAGAAGAAAUAAAAAGUAGAGACCACAGAUGCUGAAGAGCAGCUUCCCUGAUGUCUGGAGUGAAUGUUUAGUUUAAAAUCACAAACUGAAAUCAGAAAUAAGACCUGAAAUCAGAAUCCUCAGAGAUGAAACACCUGGUUCUUGAACAGGAAUGACUGAAGGACUUGUCUGAGCAUGGACAUCACUCGAGGUGACAGCACUGUGGCUGCCUGACUCACAGUGGGAAACUCCUGUGCGGCUGAGCCAGAAGCGGACUGACUUGUCUGAUCGGCCGGAGAAAUGAUUAUAUUAAGCUACUGAUAUGAUCAUUCUAAAAGACCUUGAGAUUUCUUUAUAGUUUAGCUAAGCCAGCCCCAGUCCUGCUAUGAUUCAGCCUAAUACCUAUGCCUUCCACUCUUCUUUUGUUCCUAGAGGUAGAAGGGAGAAGAACCGGCCACCAUCAGCUACUGUCUUUUUCUUUCCACCAUCCCUUCCACAGAGGAUGCAUGGAAACAAGCUCAUCUGAACUGCACAUAACACCACCAUAGCCUUUGAAGUAGUCUGAGCUUCUGAUAUUGGCCCUCAACCUUCAGAACCUACUUAGCACCGAAACAAAGCAAAAUCCACAUAGUUUGUCAAGUGACCCUGAUUGCCCACUUCCGUAGCAAUCAUGGUAAGAGGUGCUCAAUCUCCAUCUGCCAUGGACACACUGUGCCCGUAACACUGAGUACCACAGAGAUAAGUGGGCAGAGGAUGGGAUCUUCACAUGCCCUUCACAAUGGAUCCAGAGUGGAGUCCAGGGGCCUCUACAUUGCCCUCUUUUCAAUUCACAAGAUUGGACUGGCCCUGCCUCAUAGCAAUAUAAUUCGGAUUUUUUUUUCUACCUACGUAGUCUCUUUAAAUUUCUAUCUCCCUUUGUCUUUUUCUCCCUCUCUCUCUCUCUCCUCUCAGUAUGUUAUCCCUAACGUCAACUAUGGAGGGAAAACAAAAAAUUCUACUACAGAUGGCAAAUUGUCCACUUGCACACAGGACACAGUGGUCCAGCA